Molecule: ribosomal RNA, 468 nt
Filed under: uncultured bacterium
Lineage: Bacteria
Description: partial 16S ribosomal RNA
Rfam family: Bacterial small subunit ribosomal RNA
Source: RNAcentral
GACGAACGCUGGCGGCGUGCUUAACACAUGCAAGUCGAACGGAAAGGCCCUGCUUUUGUGGGGUGCUCGAGUGGCGAACGGGUGAGUAACACGUGAGUAACCUGCCCUUGACUUUGGGACAACUUCAGGAAACUGGGGCUAAUACCGGAUAGGAGCUCCUGCUGCAUGGUGGGGGUUGGAAAGUUUCGGCGGUUGGGGAUGGACUCGCGGCUUAUCAGCUUGUUGGUGGGGUAGUGGCUUACCAAGGCUUUGACGGGUAGCCGGCCUGAGAGGGUGACCGGCAACAUUGGGACUGAGAUACGGCACAGACUCCUACGGGAGGCAGCAGUGGGGAAUAUUGCACAAUGGGCGGAAGCCUGAUGCAGCAACGCCGCGUGCGGGAUGACGGCCUUCGGGUUGUAAACCGCUUUCGCCUGUGACGAAGCGUGAGUGACGGUAAUGGGUAAAGAAGCACCGGCUAACUACGUG